GAUGAACGCUGGCGGCGUGCCUAAUACAUGCAAGUCGAGCGAACAGACGAGGGGCUUGCUCCUCUGACGUUAGCGGCGGACGGGUGAGUAACACGUGGAUAACCUACCUAUAAGACCGGGAUAACUUCGGGAAACCGGAGCUAAUACCGGAUAAUAUAUUGAACCGCAUGGUUCAAUAGUGAAAGACGGUUUUGCUGUCACUUAUAGAUGGAUCCGCGCCGCAUUAGCUAGUUGGUAAGGUAACGGCUUACCAAGGCAACGAUGCGUAGCCGACCUGAGAGGGUGAUCGGCCACACUGGAACUGAGACACGGUCCAGACUCCUACGGGAGGCAGCAGUAGGGAAUCUUCCGCAAUGGGCGAAAGCCUGACGGAGCAACGCCGCGUGAGUGAUGAAGGUCUUCGGAUCGUAAAACUCUGUUAUUAGGGAAGAACAAAUGUGUAAGUAACUAUGCACGUCUUGACGGUACCUAAUCAGAAAGCCACGGCUAACUACGUG
RNAcentral lists this ribosomal RNA (497 nucleotides) under uncultured bacterium. RNAcentral describes it as "partial 16S ribosomal RNA". It matches the Rfam family "Bacterial small subunit ribosomal RNA", at positions 28 to 507 of the family's 1533-position model. The record is from RNAcentral.